GGCCUCAUAGAUCAGUAGGCUAGAGCGUUGGCUGUACUAAAGCCAUACCCUUGCUGGUGUGGGUUCGAAUCCCACCGAGGCCA
RNAcentral lists this transfer RNA (83 nucleotides) under Schistocephalus solidus. It matches the Rfam family "tRNA". Rfam says of the family: Transfer RNA (tRNA) molecules are approximately 80 nucleotides in length. The record is from Rfam by way of RNAcentral. Lineage: Eukaryota; Metazoa; Platyhelminthes; Cestoda; Diphyllobothriidea; Diphyllobothriidae.